CCUACGGGGGGCAGCAGUAGGGAAUAUUGCACAAUGGGGGAAACCCUGAUGCAGCAACGCCGCGUGGGGGAUGAAGGUUUUCGGUUCGUAAACCCCUUUUGUUAGGGAAGAUAAUGACGGUAUCUAACGAAUAAGCACCGGCUAACUCCGUGCCAGCAGCCGCGGUAAUACGGAGGGUGCAAGCGUUACUCGGAAUCACUGGGCGUAAAGAGCGCGUAGGCGGGAUAGCAAGUCAGAUGUGAAAUCCUAUGGCUUAACCAUAGAACUGCAUUUGAAACUGUUCUUCUGGAGUAUAGGAGGGGUAAGUGGAAUUCUUGGUGUAGGGGUAAAAUCCGUAGAGAUCAGGAGGAAUACUCAUGGCGAAGGCGACCUGCUAGAACAUAACUGACGCUGAGGCGCGAAAGCGUGGGGAGCAAACAGGAUUAGAUACCCGUGUAGUC
Molecule: ribosomal RNA, 440 nt
Filed under: uncultured bacterium
Lineage: Bacteria
Description: partial 16S ribosomal RNA
Rfam family: Bacterial small subunit ribosomal RNA
Source: RNAcentral